CGGCGGCGGCGGCCCGGGCCGGGCGGGGGCGGGGGCGUCUGCGCGCACACGCGGGCUCGCAGACACACACACACGCACACGCGGGCCACGCCGCGCACACCCGCACCCGCGCCCGCGCUCACACUCACUCACACUCACACUCGCGCGCAGGCCCCGCAGCCGCCGCCGCCUCCGGAAGCGGCGCUCGGCCCGGAUCCCGGCCGGGCUGGAGGUGAGUGAGUCCGGCCGCGGCGGAGGGAGUGAGCGCUGGGGCCGAGGGGCACCCGGUCCGCCGGUGGGGGUGGGCCUGCGGGGGCCACAGCCGGGGGCGGCGGAGGAUGAGGCCGGGAAAGCCGCCCGCAGGGGCUCCCGGUCCGGGGACCACCGCGAGCCCCCCGGGACCCCGUGCGCGGGAGGGUGCCGGGGGCGGUGGGCGGAGGCGGGCGGGAGGACGCGGAGGACGGCCGGUGAGGUGAGCAUUCUCGGGGGCUGGUGCAGAGGCUCGAGGGUGGACGGCUGUUCCGGGCAGAGCCACGGCGCACCUCUCAGCCCCCAUCCUUGCGAAUCGGGGCCCUCGUCCCCCUCUCUCACGGGGGGCUGCCGGCCCGAGGAAUUCAUCUUCGUAGCCGAAGGAGAAGACCUGGGUGAGAAGCUGCUGCCGCCUGAGCCAGACUGGGACCGAGACCCCGUUGCUCCUGCUGCCGCUGCCAGCGCAGGGCCUCCCUGA
This 706-nucleotide long non-coding RNA is filed under the name Canis lupus familiaris (dog). RNAcentral describes it as "lncRNA (ENSCAFG00030009725.1)". The record is from RNAcentral. Lineage: Eukaryota; Metazoa; Chordata; Mammalia; Carnivora; Canidae.